UUCAAAUGUAAAAAAUUUGUUGAACAUGUUUGUUAUAAAAAAUCUUGAUCCUUCAGUAUUUUAAUAAUAUCAGGGACAUACGUUUUUCAAUUGGAAUAUUGGUAACAGAAACAGAACAAAAUAAUAUGCAAAUCGGCUGAAUAAUCAAGCCUUACCUUCAGCUAAAUUAGAACUGGCUCUCCCUGCAGUGUCCGCAGCUGUUGUGCCGCCCCAUUCAAUUCGCUCCGGCAACGGAGAUUUUCCAUAUUGUUAUCAGCGGUGGCGGCUGUUCAAUAAGGCAAGGAAAACCUAAUAAGGAAAGGAAAACCAUACACACAGCGGAGCCCAACUGGAACCGCUCCUCCAUGGCCCACGACAGGAGCCCAUCCGGAUCCGGGGAUCGGGGAUCCGAGUGGAAAGCCAAAGCCGGAGUGGCAAUGAUUUCGAGUGUCAGGGGCUGGGGUUGCGGGUUGGGGGACAGUGAGGGCCAGGGAUGAUAUUGCGAAUACGACGAGUGUGCCGAGGACACUGGCAUGCAGUCAGUUGGUGUCGCAUCUCCUGGAUAUUGCAUGAGUUCCCUGAGUACGCCGCCAUCUGAAUUUCCAUUUGCCAGGACAGGCAGCCCCGUUUCCGUGCGGCAACAAUACUACUGCGACUACGACUACGACGACGUCAUGCGAUUAACCCGGCUGGAUUAAACAUUCAGUGCUAAGGAGGCAGAAACCAGACAAUAGCAAGGACACUACUCGACAUGGCUGGUUUUUACACCCAAACAGAACAAUGGAGCAGGGAUUAAGGUAUCCUUUAAAAUAUUGGCAUUAUAAAUUUGCUUAUAAAUUUGGGAUCACUAAAGUUGUUAUUGGAACACCAUUUAAUUACCUAAAGUCAAAAUUAAAUGUAGAUAUUGGA
Long non-coding RNA from Drosophila biarmipes, 888 nucleotides. RefSeq lists it as uncharacterized. Lineage: Eukaryota; Metazoa; Arthropoda; Insecta; Diptera; Drosophilidae. The transcript is spliced from 4 exons. The record is from RefSeq and is a predicted model, not a curated record.